This 302-nucleotide ribosomal RNA is filed under the name uncultured bacterium. Its description in RNAcentral is "partial 16S ribosomal RNA". It matches the Rfam family "Bacterial small subunit ribosomal RNA", at positions 508 to 807 of the family's 1533-position model. The record is from RNAcentral.
GCAGCCGCCGCGGUAAUACAGAGGGUGCGAGCGUUAAUCGGAUUUACUGGGCGUAAAGCGUGCGUAGGCGGCUUCUUAAGUCGGAUGUGAAAUCCUUGAGCUUAACUUAGGAAUUGCAUUCGAUACUGGGAAGCUAGAGUAUGGGAGAGGAUGGUAGAAUUCCAGGUGUAGCGGUGAAAUGCGUAGAGAUCUGGAGGAAUACCGAUGGCGAAGGCAGCCAUCUGGCCUAAUACUGACGCUGAGGUACGAAAGCAUGGGGAGCAAACAGGAUUAGAUACCCCUGUAGUCCCUGUCUCUUAUAC